This 308-nucleotide ribosomal RNA is filed under the name Alexandrium margalefii. RNAcentral's name for it is "partial Bacterial large subunit ribosomal RNA". It matches the Rfam family "Bacterial large subunit ribosomal RNA", at positions 2602 to 2925 of the family's 2925-position model. The record is from RNAcentral. Lineage: Eukaryota; Dinophyceae; Gonyaulacales; Pyrocystaceae.
GAGCUGGGUUUAGAACGUCGUGAGACAGUUCGGUCCCUAUCUGCCGUGGGUGUAGGAUACUUGAGAGGAGUUGCCCCUAGUACGAGAGGACCGGGGUGAACGUUCCACUGGUGGACCAGUUGUCGUGCCAACGGCAGUGCUGGGUAGCUAUGAACGGACAGGAUAACCGCUGAAGGCAUCUAAGCGGGAAGCCCCCCUCAAAACAAGGUAUCCCUGAGGACCGUGGUAGACCACCACGUCGAUAGGCCGGAGAUGUAAGCGCAGCAAUGCGUUCAGUUGACCGGUACUAAUUGUCCGAUAGGCUUGAU